This 343-nucleotide unclassified non-coding RNA is filed under the name soil metagenome. Its description in RNAcentral is "partial contains 5.8S ribosomal RNA, internal transcribed spacer 2, and large subunit ribosomal RNA". The stretch from base 1 to 120 matches the Rfam family "5.8S ribosomal RNA", at positions 35 to 154 of the family's 154-position model. The record is from RNAcentral.
GAUGAAGAACGUUGCGAAAUGCGAUAAGUAAUGUGAAUUGCAGAAUCCAGUGAAUCAUCGAAUCUUUGAACGCACAUUGCGCCCGCCAGCAUUCUGGCGGGCAUGCCUGUUCGAGCGUCAUUUCAACCCUCGACCUCCCCUUGGGGAGGUCGGCGUUGGGGACCGGCAGCACACCGCCGGCCCUGAAAUGGAGUGGCGGCCCGUCUGCGGCGACCUCUGCGUAGUAAUACAGCUCGCACCGGAACCCCGACGCGGCCACGCCGUAAAACACCCAACUUCUGAACGUUGACCUCGAAUCAGGUAGGACUACCCGCUGAACUUAAGCAUAUCAAUAAGCGGAGGA